UAAUACCGGAUAGAUCAAAGAUACUGGAAUGUUCCUUGAUCUAAAGCUCCGGCGUCCAAGGAUGGAUCUGCGGCCUAUCAGGUAGUAGUGGGUGUAACGUACCUACUAGCCUACGACGGGUACGGGUUGUGAGAGCAAGAGCCCGGAGAUGGAUUCUGAGACAUGAAUCCAGGCCCUACGGGGCGCAGCAGGCGCGAAAUCUUUACAAUGCAGGAAACUGCGAUAAGGGGACCCCGAGUGCCAGCAUCUAAUGCUGGCUGUCCAGCUGUGUAAAUAGCAGUUGUUAGCAAGGGCCGGGCAAGACCGGUGCCAGCCGCCGCGGUAACACCGGCGGCCCGAGUGGUAACCGAUUUUAUUGGGUUUAAAGGGUCCGUAGCCGGCCUGCUAAGUCUCUUGGGAAAUCUGGCGGCUCAAUCGUCAGGCGUCC
This 427-nucleotide ribosomal RNA is filed under the name uncultured archaeon. Its description in RNAcentral is "bacterial SSU rRNA". It matches the Rfam family "Archaeal small subunit ribosomal RNA", at positions 147 to 575 of the family's 1478-position model. The record is from RNAcentral.